UUUAAAUGUUAAUGCAGUAGCAUGUGUUAGUGCAGCUGUGUAUGUGUUAAUGCAGCAGUAUAAGAGUUAACAU
Molecule: non-coding RNA, 73 nt
Organism: Pangasianodon gigas (Mekong giant catfish)
Lineage: Eukaryota; Metazoa; Chordata; Actinopteri; Siluriformes; Pangasiidae
Source: the annotation of a GenBank genome assembly